CCUAUAUAAACCACCACAGACGUGAACUAAAUAAUUUGAGUUAUAAGUCAAAGUGUGUAAACAUGAAAGUGUAUUUGUUGCUCUGUUUGAUGCUUGUUGCACUUGCAUCAACGGUUUUCGCUGGUCCGAUUAGAGCAGGUGUAUGCCCACCUGGGUAUAUACGAGUUGGGAGUCGUUGCUUUCCGGAGGACUAUGUCGAUGCUAUAUAAUGAUCAAGAUUUCAAAUUGUUCUGAAAGCAAGAUUUUUUAUUAAAAUACUAUUCAUUCCCA
Molecule: long non-coding RNA, 270 nt
Filed under: Helicoverpa zea (corn earworm)
Lineage: Eukaryota; Metazoa; Arthropoda; Insecta; Lepidoptera; Noctuidae
Description: uncharacterized LOC124633364
Source: RNAcentral